AGUGAGCGCUGGCGGUAGGCCUAACACAUGCAAGUCGAACGGCAGCACAGUAAGAGCUUGCUCUUACGGGUGGCGAGUGACGGACGGGUGAGGAAUACAUCGGAAUCUACUUUUUCGUGGGGGAUAACGUAGGGAAACUUACGCUAAUACCGCAUACGACCUACGGGUGAAAGCAGGGGAUAUUCGGACCUUGCGCGAUUGAAUGAGACGAUGUCGGAUUAGCUAGUUGGCGGGGUAAAGGCCCACCAAGGCGACGAUCCGUAGCUGGUCUGAGAGGAUGAUCAGCCACACUGGAACUGAGACACGGUCCAGACUCCUACGGGAGGCAGCAGUGGGGAAUAUUGGACAAUGGGCGCAAGCCUGAUCCAGCCAUACCGCGUGGGUGAAGAAGGCCUUCGGGUUGUAAAGCCCUUUUGUUGGGAAAGAAAAGCAGCAGGUUAAUACCCCGCUGUUCUGACGGUACCCAAAGAAUAAGCACCGGCUAACUUCGUG
This 492-nucleotide ribosomal RNA is filed under the name uncultured bacterium. RNAcentral describes it as "partial 16S ribosomal RNA". It matches the Rfam family "Bacterial small subunit ribosomal RNA", at positions 29 to 507 of the family's 1533-position model. The record is from RNAcentral.